This is a long non-coding RNA of Monopterus albus (swamp eel), 1397 nucleotides long. RefSeq lists it as uncharacterized. The transcript has 3 exons. Lineage: Eukaryota; Metazoa; Chordata; Actinopteri; Synbranchiformes; Synbranchidae. The record is from RefSeq and is a predicted model, not a curated record.
AGUGUGUUGUUGUUUUUUUUAUUGUCAGUAACAAUUAGCCUAAUGCUGUUCAUUUACAUGUUAGGCAUUUUUAGCAAACGUUAGCUACGCAGCUGGCAGAGGUAGCAAUUAGCUGUCGAAGCUCUAUUGCUGAACUCUAUCAGUCACAACACAAUUCGGAUAAACUUCAAUUGUAUUACUUCCAUACAGUUACAUCCUGCAUUUGUCUGUUUUUGUGGUAAAAUUGGAGAGAUGAAGCCCCCAGAAGAUGCAGAGAGGGGCAUGUUUGAGCUACUGUUUGUCCACGGAGGCCACACAGCCAAGAUCUCUGAUUUCCCCUAGAACCCCAACAAACAUUGGAUCAUUGCUUGGUGACUGAAGACAACAUUAUGCAAGCCUGGCAAACAUUAAGAACUUAGACCGCAUUUUACUCUAGCAUAUUAGCCAUGGACAGCCAGAGAACACGAGUUCUUUGGACUAUAUUGUCUUAGAUGGAAUUAUUUGCCCUCAAAGACAACAUAUAAGAUUUUCAGCAGUAUAUAAAAAAAAAUUAAGUAACAGACAACAGGCAACUGUUGUCAGGAGCCCAUGUCUCUAGUGAAAAUCUGUAACAUGAAUUGGAGCAGGCAGCAAUGCAGGGAAAAGUGUGAUGGGAGGUUCCUCUUCAGCUAAUGACUCAGUCAAGAUAGAGUUCUUUUUGGUUUGGGAUUUAACAUUUAGAGCGAUUCAGUCAGGGCCAAAUGACAACAUGGAAGAGAGAAAUGGUGAGUAUGGUAAAUGUGUGUUUCUACUUUUAUUUGUACUACUAAAAGUAUAUUUUGUGUCACACUCAGCUGUCUUUAAUGUCAGAAAAGCUACCAGUUAAGCAUAUAGUAGUUUUUAGGCAAAAUUUGGCUCUUCAAAAGCCUCAGAGUUGAUCUUCACCUGGUUGUUCUUGAAUACAUACUGUAUAUACAGCAAUCAAAUUGGCUUUUGAAGUAUUUUAAUUAAUGCUUUUUUUUUUUUUAAAUAAAAUGUUUUUCUGGAACAUAAGGUGACAAUCAUACUGACAGUCCAAAUGCUACAUCACAAUAACUUGUUAAAUAGUGUAUACAGUGCCCUCCACACAUGUUGAAAGUGUUGUAGAGAAGUAAUUAAGUAAAAAUGCUGUUCAAUUCUUUAACAUAAUGCAUGCCAUGGUAAUUGCUUCAGCUUGGUCUCCAUGUGAUUGUUCUGAAUGUUGAUUUCCACUCCUUCUCUUUCUGUAUGGAAAUGGAAUUUCAUAGUGAAUCUGUUUUGAAUUGGCCGUUUGUGGUCCCACUUCCCCUCACCACAUUAAUGCAAAUUAGUCAUUGAAAUGUUGUCACUCUGAUACACAGUAGAUUUGUAGUUCAAUAUUUUGUAUGGUGAGUGCACUCCUAAUAAAAAGUCUUCCAUCA